RNAcentral lists this ribosomal RNA (753 nucleotides) under uncultured crenarchaeote. Its description in RNAcentral is "bacterial SSU rRNA". It matches the Rfam family "Archaeal small subunit ribosomal RNA", at positions 505 to 1265 of the family's 1478-position model. The record is from RNAcentral. Lineage: Archaea; Thermoproteati; Thermoproteota.
UGGGCCUGAAGCAUCCGUAGCUGGCUAAACAAGUUCCCUGUUAAAUCCAGCGAUUCAAUCGUUGGAUUGCGGGGAAUACUGCUUGGCUAGGGGGCGGGAGAGGCCGACGGUAUUUUCGGGGUAUGGGUGAAAUCCUAUAAUCCCGGAAGGACCACCAGUGGCGAAGGCUGUCGGCUAGAACGCGCCCGACGGUGAGGGAUGAAAGCUUGGGGAGCGAACCGGAUUAGAUACCCGGGUAGUCCAAGCUGUAAACGAUGCAGGCUAGGUGUUAGGGCGGCCACGUGCCGCUCUAGUGCCGCAGGGAAGCUGUUAAGCCUGCCGCCUGGGGAGUACGGCCGCAAGGCUGAAACUUAAAGGAAUUGGCGGGGGAGCACCACAAGGGGUGAAGCUUGCGGUUUAAUUGGAGUCAACGCCGGAAAUCUCACCGGGGGCGACAGCAGGAUGAAAGCCAGAUUAAAGGUCUUGCCAGACGAGCUGAGAGGAGGUGCAUGGCCGUCGCCAGUUCGUGCCGUGAGGUGUCCUGUUAAGUCAGGCAACGAUCGAGACCCGCAUCUCCAGUUGCUACCAGCCUCGCGCUGGGCACACUGGGGAGACCGCCGCUGAUAAGGCGGAGGAAGGAGCGGGCCACGGCAGGUCAGUAUGCCCCGAAUCUCCCGGGCCACACGCGAGCUGCAAUGGCAGGUACAAUGGGCUCCGACCCCGAAAGGGGAAGGCAAUCUCUAAAACCUGCCGUAGUUGGGAUCGAGGGUUGAA